GAAGACGUCAGCACUGACGCGUUCAUUCAGCGUCGAGUCUUCAGAGAAGAGAAAUCUGCAAAGACAGAGUUUAUUGAAGGACAGUGAGAAGAUGAGUGAUCCAGAACCCUGCAGAAUUAAACAGGAGGAGACUGAAGAACUAAUCGGUUUGUUACAUUUAGUUUAUUUCACAGAGCGAUAGUUUCGUUUCAUAAAGCAGUGCAUCAUGAGUCACAAGUAGAGGAGAAUGAAGAACUGAGUGAAGAUGAGGAGGAACAUCAUGUCAAAAGUGAAAAUGAAGCAAAUACUGAAGAUACUUUAUUACCGAAAACAACAGGCAAGAAAUGUUUGAUCUGCACUGAGUGUGGAACGAGUUUCAUCACCCAAAACGAUCUCAAGAGUCACAUGAAGAUCCACACUGGAGGGAAACCGCACAAGUGUUCGCACUGCGACAAGAGAUUUAGCCGAUUAGCAUAUCUGAUUACACACGAGAGGAUCCACACUGGAGAGAAACCCUACGAGUGUUCACACUGCGGCAAGAGAUUCAAUGAGUCAGGAAA
This is a non-coding RNA of Danio rerio (zebrafish), 539 nucleotides long. The record is from Ensembl. NCBI's taxonomy places the organism in Eukaryota, Metazoa, Chordata, Actinopteri, Cypriniformes, Danionidae.